This 301-nucleotide ribosomal RNA is filed under the name uncultured bacterium. RNAcentral describes it as "partial 16S ribosomal RNA". It matches the Rfam family "Bacterial small subunit ribosomal RNA", at positions 509 to 808 of the family's 1533-position model. The record is from RNAcentral.
CAGUAGCCGCGGGAAUACGGGGGGGGCAAGUGUUAUUCGGAAUGACUGGGCGUAAAGGGCACGUAGGCGGUGAAAAGGGUGGAAAGUGAAAGUCGCCAAAACACUGGCGGGGUGCUUUCUUGACCAUUUCACUUGAGUGAGAUAGGGGAGAGUGGAAUUUCGUGUGGAGGGAUCAAAUCCUAAGAUAUACGAAGGAACGCCAACCGCGAAGGCAGCUCUCUGGGUCCCCACUGACGCUGGGGUGCGAAAGCAUGGGGAGCAAACAGGAUCAGAUACCCCGGUAGUCCCUGUCUCUUAUACA